AUGGAUCUUUGUGCUUUGAUUCCCCUUUUCUCCUUUAAAAUCUUACGUUAUUUUCAAAGAUAAUGCUACUUUUUAUUAGAAAAUAAAGCUGACAUAGCUGACUAGUGUACCAAAGCCAAAACCAACACCUUAUUUGACUUCAGUUACUCCGUGGCAUUCCUAGAGUGUGUUAGUGCCCGCUGUCCUCUGCUUUGCGACAUUCUAUUAGUUCCUGACAGGUCGGGAAGGAAAGGAUGUGGCAUGAGACACAUGGAUGUAAGUGACUGAAACUUACCAACGGACGCCCAUGCUGGGUGGAGGAACUGCGAAGGGGAAGCCGGGAAUGGAGGCGAGCGUGCGGGACGGCUUCUCGGGGACAGUGCCAUUGACUGUGCCCAGGAACAAGAAAAUACGGAAACAGUGGUGGCUUUCUGCUCGACGGGACUUCCCUAUGAAUGAACAUGCGUGCUGCUGCUGUGAAGAUCAUUUUGAUGUUGAGAACGAUGUUGCCAACUACCUGUAUAUGAAGGAAAAGGAAAAUCCUAGAAAUACUGCAAGACAAAGAAAACAUUUCUGAAAACUGCUCAACCUACAGUAAGUCCAGAAGAUGAGAUAGUAGGAACCAGUCAGUCCGAGCCCCCUGUGAAGCACAUUGGUAUCCAGGUACGGAUGCCUAGAUCAGUGGCUUUACAGACCAGUAUUAUACCACCCAAGGCUGAUGUAGGCUGCAAUACGGACAACGCUCCACACCAAAAUAACUCUCCAUCGUCUGCUGCUGCUUCCCUUUCAAGUGAUGAAGACCAAGACUCUGCUGAAGACUACAUGCCAUCCACAAGUGCGGAAAGUGAAGAAGAGGGAAAAAGUUUGUCACUCAUCGUUACUAGAGACUAUAUUAGAAAAAACCCAAUGCGUUACAUUGGAUUAGACAAAGAAUACCUGAACAUUGUAAAUUUACUGAACAACAAAAUUUGUUAUUGUGAAAGGGAGCAGCUAAUGACAAAAAAGUGAUGAUGUGUCAUUGGUGUUAAUGAGGAUCCGCACAAAUAUCCCCAGUAACAUUAUUGCUGAUAUGUUUGGGAUAUCUGUAGGUAUGGUAAGUAGGAUGCUAUCACGUCACAUACCAAUGGUGGUUAGUUGUUUACAAGGUCUCAUUUACUGGCCUCCUUCAGAGAUGAUAAGAAAAAGACUUCCAUAUGCAUUCAAAGCUUACUAUCAUAAUGUUGAAUCAAUUAUUGAUUGUUUUGAGAUUGAAAUUGAAAAACCAUCCACUGCUAUGAUACAGAGUAUGAGUUGGUCAGCAUAUAAAAACUGCAAUACUGUAAAGUACUUAAUUUCUGCUACCCCGGAUGGACUAGUAAAUUUUGUGUCAACAGGUAGACCUGGUAGGUGUAGUGACAUGGAACUGC
Molecule: long non-coding RNA, 1385 nt
Organism: Portunus trituberculatus (swimming crab)
Lineage: Eukaryota; Metazoa; Arthropoda; Malacostraca; Decapoda; Portunidae
Exons: 5
Source: RefSeq, a predicted model, not a curated record